This 562-nucleotide ribosomal RNA is filed under the name Scirtothrips dorsalis. Its description in RNAcentral is "eukaryotic LSU rRNA". The stretch from base 1 to 89 matches the Rfam family "5.8S ribosomal RNA", at positions 66 to 154 of the family's 154-position model. Lineage: Eukaryota; Metazoa; Arthropoda; Insecta; Thysanoptera; Thripidae. The record is from RNAcentral.
UGUGAACUGCAGGACACAUGAACAUCGACAUUUCGAACGCACAUUGCGGCCCUAGGACUUGUUCCUGGGCCACACCUGACUGAGGGUCGGUUGACCAAACUCAACGACCAGACUGUCCGGCUUUACAACCCGGAAGAGAUGGGAGUCUCCGUGUCUCGGCGUGGUACUCUUAAAUAAAGUGAGUGUGGGCUCGGCGUUCGCGUCGUCCCACCGAUAUCGCUGCACGGAAGGCAAUCGAGUGGGUUUUCACACGGUCUCACAACCGAGUAGGCUCGUCUCGUUCGCUUGGAUCUGAUGGCAACAUUGGUCCCGUGCGCUCGUUUUCGAUUUCGAUAAACGCGGCGCCGCGGACUAGUUUGCUUGAGCACAGUGGUCCCCUCGGGACAAAGAUCCAGGCGGGCGGCGCGUGCACGAGUCUCGAGGCUAUUGUGAAAUACUCUUUAUUCUGUGCAGUGAGCGAGCGCUUCUGUCUUCCAGGGCGAUUCUGCUAUCACGACCUGCAGUCAGGUGAGACUACCGCUGAAAUUUAAGCAUAUUACUAAGGGGAGGAAAAGAAACUAAC